Long non-coding RNA from Hevea brasiliensis (rubber tree), 426 nucleotides. RefSeq lists it as uncharacterized. The transcript is spliced from 2 exons. The record is from RefSeq and is a predicted model, not a curated record. NCBI's taxonomy places the organism in Eukaryota, Viridiplantae, Streptophyta, Magnoliopsida, Malpighiales, Euphorbiaceae.
ACGACAAAGAGAAAGAAAAGGAAAGAAAGGAAAGAAGAAGAAGGACGAUGGCCAGAAUUUUUGGAGUUCUCCGGUGACGGUGAACGUUGGCAAGGGAAAAAGAGAGAUGGUAACUUGGAAAACUAGGAAUUAAAGAGAAAAAGGGAGAAAGAAAGUGAAUAAAAGCAGAAAUAGGGGAUGAUCAAGGCAGCAAAUUCUUCACUCUUCUAGAUAAGUUUGGUGACGGGUGGAUGUUAUUUUGAAGUUAAUCUGCUUUCUUUCUCAUGGGGAAACUUAAUCCAUUGAUGUAUUAACUAUAUUUAUUUUUGUUAUAUCUAGAAUUUCGCAGUAACUAUAUUAGUUUUUCUUAUGAUGUAAAACUAACUUGUUAAAAUUAUUAUGUAUGUGGAAUGUUAGACUUAGUGUGAGCUGAGCUCUCCAUUGUGA